Molecule: ribosomal RNA, 448 nt
Filed under: uncultured bacterium
Lineage: Bacteria
Description: SSU rRNA
Rfam family: Bacterial small subunit ribosomal RNA
Source: RNAcentral
AGAGCGAACGCUGGCGGCAGGCUUAACACAUGCAAGUCGAGCGGGCGUAGCAAUACAUCAGCGGCAGACGGGUGAGUAACGCGUGGGAACAUACCUUUUGGUUCGGAACAACACAGGGAAACUUGUGCUAAUACCGGAUAAGCCCUUACGGGGAAAGAUUUAUCGCCGAAAGAUUGGCCCGCGUCUGAUUAGCUAGUUGGUGAGGUAACGGCUCACCAAGGCGACGAUCAGUAGCUGGUCUGAGAGGAUGAUCAGCCACAUUGGGACUGAGACACGGCCCAAACUCCUACGGGAGGCAGCAGUGGGAAUAUUGGACAAUGGGCGCAAGCCUGAUCCAGCCAUGCCGCGUGAGUGAUGAAGGCCCUAGGGUUGUAAAGCUCUUUUGUGCGGGAAGAUAAUGACGGUACCGCAAGAAUAACGCCCCGGCUAACUUCGUGCCAGCAGCCGC